RNAcentral lists this ribosomal RNA (1334 nucleotides) under Escherichia coli. RNAcentral's name for it is "partial 23S ribosomal RNA". It matches the Rfam family "Bacterial large subunit ribosomal RNA", at positions 1628 to 2925 of the family's 2925-position model. Lineage: Bacteria; Pseudomonadati; Pseudomonadota; Gammaproteobacteria; Enterobacterales; Enterobacteriaceae. The record is from RNAcentral.
CAGGUAACAUCAAAUCGUACCCCAAACCGACACAGGUGGUCAGGUAGAGAAUACCAAGGCGCUUGAGAGAACUCGGGUGAAGGAACUAGGCAAAAUGGUGCCGUAACUUCGGGAGAAGGCACGCUGAUAUGUAGGUGAAGCGACUUGCUCGUGGAGCUGAAAUCAGUCGAAGAUACCAGCUGGCUGCAACUGUUUAUUAAAAACACAGCACUGUGCAAACACGAAAGUGGACGUAUACGGUGUGACGCCUGCCCGGUGCCGGAAGGUUAAUUGAUGGGGUUAGCGGUAACGCGAAGCUCUUGAUCGAAGCCCCGGUAAACGGCGGCCGUAACUAUAACGGUCCUAAGGUAGCGAAAUUCCUUGUCGGGUAAGUUCCGACCUGCACGAAUGGCGUAAUGAUGGCCAGGCUGUCUCCACCCGAGACUCAGUGAAAUUGAACUCGCUGUGAAGAUGCAGUGUACCCGCGGCAAGACGGAAAGACCCCGUGAACCUUUACUAUAGCUUGACACUGAACAUUGAGCCUUGAUGUGUAGGAUAGGUGGGAGGCUUUGAAGUGUGGACGCCAGUCUGCAUGGAGCCGACCUUGAAAUACCACCCUUUAAUGUUUGAUGUUCUAACGUUGGCCCGUAAUCCGGGUUGCGGACAGUGUCUGGUGGGUAGUUUGACUGGGGCGGUCUCCUCCUAAAGAGUAACGGAGGAGCACGAAGGUUGGCUAAUCCUGGUCGGACAUCAGGAGGUUAGUGCAAUGGCAUAAGCCAGCUUGACUGCGAGCGUGACGGCGCGAGCAGGUGCGAAAGCAGGUCAUAGUGAUCCGGUGGUUCUGAAUGGAAGGGCCAUCGCUCAACGGAUAAAAGGUACUCCGGGGAUAACAGGCUGAUACCGCCCAAGAGUUCAUAUCGACGGCGGUGUUUGGCACCUCGAUGUCGGCUCAUCACAUCCUGGGGCUGAAGUAGGUCCCAAGGGUAUGGCUGUUCGCCAUUUAAAGUGGUACGCGAGCUGGGUUUAGAACGUCGUGAGACAGUUCGGUCCCUAUCUGCCGUGGGCGCUGGAGAACUGAGGGGGGCUGCUCCUAGUACGAGAGGACCGGAGUGGACGCAUCACUGGUGUUCGGGUUGUCAUGCCAAUGGCACUGCCCGGUAGCUAAAUGCGGAAGAGAUAAGUGCUGAAAGCAUCUAAGCACGAAACUUGCCCCGAGAUGAGUUCUCCCUGACUCCUUGAGGGUCCUGAAGGAACGUUGAAGACGACGACGUUGAUAGGCCGGGUGUGUAAGCGCAGCGAUGCGUUGAGCUAACCGGUACUAAUGAACCGUGAGGCUUAACCUUACAACGCCGAAG